GUCUCCAAAGAGAAUGGAGAAGGGAUUGUAGUGCCCUUGGAAAGGGCUGUCAUGGGGGCUGUGCCACUGAACAUCUGGAGGAGGCUUGAUCCUCUAGUCUGCUGGUGACACCAAACAGGAGGGACUGAAGCUGGCACUCAGAUUGCCUUUAGGAACUUGGCCAGGACAGGGAGGCCUCCAAGACUGCUCCUGGGGCUGGUCCCCAACCCUGCAGGGACACACUCCAGAUUGUGUGCAGAAGCAGAGUGCCUGAGUAUCAUCAAGGAGCACUGAGCAUCAGCCUGUGACUUGUGACCAGUCCCUGCACUGUGUCUUCACUGACUGAGAGCCUCGAUUUAACAUCUUCCUUUUCCUAUCCACUGCUGAAAAGAAGCUGGAGCAUAGGUGCAUUUGAGAUGCUGGAAGGAUUGUCUUCUACAUCUGCCAGUUCUAGUUCUCUUUUCUUUCAAGUAUGCUGCACACUGCUGGGCUGAGCAGUGAGCUGUGGAGAAGUGGUGAACUCUCUGUGGAGUCAACUGCACGGUUUUCUAAGAAGAUAAGAUGAUGCUAAAGGCUUAAGCCAAAGAUUAAGUUCAUCCUACAUCUCUCACAACACAGCAUUCUCUGUCUUUCCUACCCACUUUUUCCUACACUUCUUUACACAGCUUUCUCCCUCUAAAAGCAGCUGCAGUGGCAAC
This is a long non-coding RNA of Cyanistes caeruleus (blue tit), 677 nucleotides long. RefSeq lists it as uncharacterized. The record is from RefSeq and is a predicted model, not a curated record. NCBI's taxonomy places the organism in Eukaryota, Metazoa, Chordata, Aves, Passeriformes, Paridae.